This 229-nucleotide ribosomal RNA is filed under the name uncultured bacterium. Its description in RNAcentral is "partial 16S ribosomal RNA". It matches the Rfam family "Bacterial small subunit ribosomal RNA", at positions 568 to 796 of the family's 1533-position model. The record is from RNAcentral.
UGCGUAGGCGGAUUAAUAAGUCAGUGGUGAAAGCCUGCAGCUUAACUGUAGAACUGCCAUUGAUACUGCUAAUCUUGAAUUCAGUUGAGGUAGGCGGAAUGUGUCAUGUAGCGGUGAAAUGCUUAGAUAUGACACAGAACACCAAUUGCGAAGGCAGCUUGCUAAACUGAUAUUGACGCUGAGGCACGAAAGCGUGGGGAGCGAACAGGAUUAGAUACCCUGGUAGUCC